CAGGCUGGACGUGAUGGUCGCGGGCCGGGCAACCGGUCCCGAGGAAAGUCCGAGCUCCACCGGGUAGACUGCCAGGUAACGCCUGGGCGCCGCAAGGCGACGGACAGGGCCACAGAAAACAGACCGCCUCCGGCGCGAGCCGGCGGUAAGGGUGAAACGGUGGGGUAAGAGCCCACCGCCCCGAGCGUAAGCGAGGGGGCACGGCAACCCCCAGUCGGUGCAAGGCCAAAUAAGCGGCGAGGUGUGACCCACACCGCCCAUGGGACGACGGGGCUUGCCCCGGGAUUCCAAGCCGCGGGUAGGCUGCUCGAGGCGGUCGGCGACGACCGUCCCAGAUAGAUGACCAUCUCCCGGAGGGGCAACCCCGAGGGAAACAGAACUCGGCUUACGGUCUGGCCUGGGGC
This 404-nucleotide RNase P RNA is filed under the name Gemmatimonadota bacterium. RNAcentral's name for it is "Gemmatimonadetes bacterium RNase P RNA component class A". It matches the Rfam family "Bacterial RNase P class A". Rfam says of the family: Ribonuclease P (RNase P) is a ubiquitous endoribonuclease, found in archaea, bacteria and eukarya as well as chloroplasts and mitochondria. Its best characterised activity is the generation of mature 5'-ends of tRNAs by cleaving the 5'-leader elements of precursor-tRNAs. Lineage: Bacteria; Pseudomonadati; Gemmatimonadota. The record is from RNAcentral. RNAcentral also lists the same sequence under 1 other name.